Drosophila miranda is the source of this 695-nucleotide long non-coding RNA. RefSeq lists it as uncharacterized. NCBI's taxonomy places the organism in Eukaryota, Metazoa, Arthropoda, Insecta, Diptera, Drosophilidae. The record is from RefSeq and is a predicted model, not a curated record. The transcript is spliced from 2 exons.
UGCAAAUUGCCGACGCAGCGCAGGCAGCAAAGGCAGACAAUAAAUAACUACGAGAGCGACGGCUGUGACGUUAAGUAGCUUAGUGCAAAUGGACAAGCAUAAAUUCGUCUUAUUGCCCAGACCCAGACCCCGGCGCUGGCACAAGUCGUGCCAAAAAAAAAAAAAAAAACUAUCCACAGCAAUACAGCAACAACAAAAGAGUGUAAGGUGGGUUGCGGUAGCCGAAGCUUCAGAUACCCUGCAUCUAGAUUUGCACACCGAAAAUCGUGACACAACAUUCAUACGAUUGGCGGAGAUAUAAGUUCAUAAGUUUGUAGAAGUUCAGAGUUCGAAGGGUACUUUACCAUUCCAGGGUACGGGUGUUGCCGUGCAAAAAUGUACAUACAUACAUAACAUUAUUGUUAUUAUUGUUGUUCAUUAACGUCAACACUGCCACGCUCAAGUCGUUUGUAUGCAUGUGGCUUUGUAUAUGUACUGGCCGUUUUGGUUUGGUCAAAAUAUUUUUGGUAUAAUGAAAUGAAAUGAACGAAAAGUGGAAGUGGAAGCAGAAGAGAAAAAAUUUCGCCGGCUGCCUACGAUAUGCGAAUACUCUUCAAUAAUCAUAAUUGUAAUUCUGAUUAGAGGUUAUUUGCAUUAUUUAAUUUGUAUACCUGAAACGUAAUUAAUAAAGAUCAAAUGUGGUCACACUAAAUAAA